UACGGAAUGUGCAAACGUUAUUCGGAAUCACUGGGCUUAAAGAGUCCGUAGGCGGCAUGUUAGGUGAGGUGUGAAAUCCCCCGGCUCAACCGAGGAAUUGCGCCUCAAACCGGCGUGCUAGAGGAAGAUAGAGGUGGGCGGAACUGAUGGUGGAGCGGUGAAAUGCGCAGAUAUCAGGAGGAACACCGGUGGCGAAGGCGGAUCUCUGGGCCUUACCUGACGCUGAGGCGCGAAAGCUAGGGGAGCGAACAGG
This 253-nucleotide ribosomal RNA is filed under the name uncultured bacterium. RNAcentral's name for it is "partial 16S ribosomal RNA". It matches the Rfam family "Bacterial small subunit ribosomal RNA", at positions 524 to 776 of the family's 1533-position model. The record is from RNAcentral.